GUGUUUCCUAGGGGUCCCUAUGAUAGUUGGCUACAUUGCAUGUUUUCUCUUAGCUACUUCAUGUAGCUAACAUAUUCUUGUUUUGCAUAAUCCUCUUUGUUUUAGAAGAUACUGUCGGACAAACAACAUAAUGAUUUAGGUCUACACCAUCACUGGUAUUAUCAGGCUGUGUUAGCUAGCUAUGUUUGCUCUUACUCAGUACGUUUAUUAGCUGUCUAUUAGUGGUUAACAAUUAGCGUCUCACAAGAUUUAGGGCAACUCGCUAAGAAAAGACAAACUAGCUUUUUGCUGAUGUAAGAAACACAAACUAAUAGUAUAAUUUAUAGAACGCUAGUUGAUUUAUAUUAAGAAGCAAAGUGAAAACAGCAUUGUUGUCGUCAACAUUGUUGCAUGUGGUGCAUUGACCAUGCAGACUGAACGCAAAUGUCUAGCGGUUGAGGAACAUCAAAUGCGCUCCUUGAGUAACAGGGGGCGUGGCUAGGUCUGUGUGGAAAGUGGCACGGCGAGAAUGUGGAGAGAGAUGACUCAAGUAGUGAAGUAAACCAUAAUUGACAGUACCCAUGGCUUAUAACAUUUAACAAACCAAACAUUCAAAUACCGGUAUAGAAGGUCAAGUAAAAACCCAAACCUGUCCCUGCAUCAAUACCGGUAUAUUAUAAAAUACGUAUACCUCACAGCCCAAAUUCAUUUCUAUUACUGUUACUGUUAGAUAACUGGAAGGAUUUAUGUGCAACCAUUUAACAACAUUGAGGUAUCUAGCUAUAAGUAAACUCUGAUCAAUCAAAUUAAUCCAUGUAAAUAAUUAUUAUAGCUGGGGUCAUCAUCCGUUAAGGUAAAUAUAAAACAUCUCAGAUAAUAACUAUUUGAAUUUGCACAUAAAAUAACCUAACACUGACAUUUUUCUCUUUAUGUCUUCAUAAAGGUUAGCUCGGUGGAAGCCAACAAUCUUCUCCAGUUGGAGCAGUUGGACGGUUGACCACUGAAAGCCCUGACGCCCUACACUUCGGUGAAGCCUGUGAGACAAAGACCGUCAACUGUCCAAACCACCCAGGAGGUAUCCCAUCCACCAGAGCCAGGAUCAGUCUGAUUCUUUGUGCUCUUGAGUCGGAAGGGGACCAGUUUGAGGUGCAGCAUCCAGAAGUAGGAGGCCUCCUCGCGGUGGGCGGCAUCGCCAUGCUGUCAACAGUACCAACACUGGCCCAGGGGUUUAUCCAGAUAGUCAGUCUCAAGGCUAACCACUGGUUCACGGGACCUCUUUGACUGUGGAGUGGGCAGCAGUCCAGAAGUAGAAAGGGGGCACAGAUUGUGGGCUGUUUGCUAUUGCUCCCUGCAGAGAUGAGGAACCCUCCAUGGCACGAUACGAUCAGAAAUCCAUGAGAAAACAUAUUUCCUCUUGUUUUCAGGCUGGUUACCUGGCGCCAUUACCCAGUCCCAAUUCCAUCCCGAUUCCAGCCCCCCCCUGGGUCCAGGCCUCUCAAGGUGUCCACACCCUACACAACAGAGGUCAGCAUCCACUGCUUCUGUCGGAAAUAUGUGAGAGAAGAUAAGGAGGUGGCCCGGGGCUGGAGAUGUUGCAAGCAUUUUCAUGCAUCGGUUUGUCUCAUGUCGUCAAUGUGCGUGAAUUUGUCUGUCCAUAGUCCGUCAUCUGUUUUGUCUGAUGAUUUCCUAACCCGUUUUCACUGCUUGCCCGGCUCCUCACCUCAAGACGGUAGGUAUUUUACCACAUUGCAUCUUGUUGUAUAUUGUAUGUUAUUGUAAAUAACCUUAAUAACCUGUUGAGGGUUGAGUCAUCACCAUAUUGCUACACCUAUCCAAGCCCCAUCAGGUCAAACACUACAAAGAUAGAGUAGGGGGUUGAGGGCCUUCAUUAAAGGUUGAGGGCGUCUUCAUCCUUUAACUCUUUCUCUCCUCUCUCUCCAGACGAAAUUCUUCGUCUAGUGACUUCUGAUUGCCCAACAAUCUGCCCACUCAUCCCAUCCCCUCCUCUGUGUCAUUAUAUCAUUUAAAGCUACUGUUAUUGUCAUGAUGUCAUUAUCUGCUAAUAAAGUUUGCU
Oncorhynchus tshawytscha (Chinook salmon) is the source of this 2053-nucleotide long non-coding RNA. The record is from Ensembl. NCBI's taxonomy places the organism in Eukaryota, Metazoa, Chordata, Actinopteri, Salmoniformes, Salmonidae.